AGCAGCCGCGGUAAUUCCAGCUCCAAUAGCGUAUAUUAAAGUUGCUGCAGUUAAAAAGCUCGUAGUUGAAUUUCGGGACCAUCAUGUCGGUCGUGCCUCGGUACGUACUGGCAUUGUUGGUUUCUACCUUCUGACGAACCAUGAUGUCAUUAAUUUGGUGUCUUGGGGAAUCAGGACUGUUACUUUGAAAAAUUGAGUGUUUAAAGCAGGCUCGCGCUUGAAUACAUUAGCAUGGAAUAAUGAAAUAGGACGUUUGAUUCUAUUUUGUUGGUUUCUAGGAUCGACGUAAUGAUUAAUAGGGAUAGUUGGGGGCAUUAGUAUUCAACUGUCAGAGGUGAAAUUCUUGGAUUUAUUGAAGACUAACUACUGCGAAAGCAUUUGCCAAGGAUGUUUUCAUUAAUCAAGAACGAAAGUUAGGGGAUCGAAGACGAUCAGAUACCGUCGUAGUCUUAACCAUAAACUAUGCCGACUAGGGAUCGGAUGAUGUUAAUUUUUAAUGACUCAUUC
Molecule: ribosomal RNA, 507 nt
Filed under: uncultured Glomus
Lineage: Eukaryota; Fungi; Glomeromycota; Glomeromycetes; Glomerales; Glomeraceae
Description: SSU rRNA
Rfam family: Eukaryotic small subunit ribosomal RNA
Source: RNAcentral